RNAcentral lists this ribosomal RNA (517 nucleotides) under uncultured bacterium. RNAcentral's name for it is "bacterial SSU rRNA". It matches the Rfam family "Bacterial small subunit ribosomal RNA", at positions 501 to 1016 of the family's 1533-position model. The record is from RNAcentral.
CUACGUGCCAGCAGCCGCGGUAAUACGUAGGUCCCGAGCGUUGUCCGGAUUUAUUGGGCGUAAAGCGAGCGCAGGCGGUUAGAUAAGUCUGAAGUUAAAGGCUGUGGCUUAACCAUAGUACGCUUUGGAAACUGUUUAACUUGAGUGCAAGAGGGGAGAGUGGAAUUCCAUGUGUAGCGGUGAAAUGCGUAGAUAUAUGGAGGAACACCGGUGGCGAAAGCGGCUCUCUGGCUUGUAACUGACGCUGAGGCUCGAAAGCGUGGGGAGCAAGCAGGAUUAGAUACCCUGGUAGUCCACGCCGUAAACGAUGAGUGCUAGGUGUUAGACCCUUUCCGGGGUUUAGUGCCGUAGCUAACGCAUUAAGCACUCCGCCUGGGGAGUACGACCGCAAGGUUGAAACUCAAAGGAAUUGACGGGGGCCCGCACAAGCGGUGGAGCAUGUGGUUUAAUUCGAAGCAACGCGAAGAACCUUACCAGGUCUUGACAUCCCUCUGACCGCUCUAGAGAUAGAGUUUUC